This 292-nucleotide ribosomal RNA is filed under the name uncultured bacterium. RNAcentral's name for it is "partial 16S ribosomal RNA". It matches the Rfam family "Bacterial small subunit ribosomal RNA", at positions 505 to 796 of the family's 1533-position model. The record is from RNAcentral.
GUGACAGCAGCCGCGGUAAUACGGAGGGGGUUAGCGUUGUUCGGAAUUACUGGGCGUAAAGCGCGCGUAGGCGGAUCAGAAAGUUGGGGGUGAAAUCCCAGGGCUCAACCCUGGAAUUGCCUUCAAAACUCCUGGUCUUGAGUUCGAGAGAGGUGAGUGGAAUUCCGAGUGUAGAGGUGAAAUUCGUAGAUAUUCGGAGGAACACCAGUGGCGAAGGCGGCUCACUGGCUCGAUACUGACGCUGAGGUGCGAAAGCGUGGGGAGCAAACAGGAUUAGAUACCCGAGUAGUCC